This 249-nucleotide ribosomal RNA is filed under the name uncultured Micrococcaceae bacterium. RNAcentral describes it as "partial 16S ribosomal RNA". It matches the Rfam family "Bacterial small subunit ribosomal RNA", at positions 355 to 616 of the family's 1533-position model. Lineage: Bacteria; Bacillati; Actinomycetota; Actinomycetes; Micrococcales; Micrococcaceae. The record is from RNAcentral.
UGGGGAAUAUUGCACAAUGGGCGCAAGCCUGAUGCAGCGACGCCGCGUGAGGGAUGACGGCCUUCGGGUUGUAAACCUCUUUCAGUAGGGAAGAAGCGAAAGUGACGGUACCUGCAGAAGAAGCGCCGGCUAACUACGUACCAGCAGCCGCGGCAAUACGUAGGGCGCAAGCGUUAUCCGGAAUUAUUGGGCGUAAAGAGCUCGUAGGCGGUUUGUCGCGUCUGUCGUGAAAGUCCGGGGCCCAACUCC